Molecule: ribosomal RNA, 274 nt
Filed under: uncultured bacterium
Lineage: Bacteria
Description: partial 16S ribosomal RNA
Rfam family: Bacterial small subunit ribosomal RNA
Source: RNAcentral
AUACGGAGGGUGCAAGCGUUAUCCGGAAUCAUUGGGUUUAAAGGGUCCGUAGGCGGACUAAUAAGUCAGGGGUGAAAUCCCACAGCUUAACUGUGGAACUGCCUUUGAUACUGUUAGUCUUGAGUUAUAUGGAAGUAGAUAGAAUGUGUAGUGUAGCGGUGAAAUGCUUAGAGAUUACACAGAAUACCGAUUGCGAAGGCAGUCUACUACAUAUAUACUGACGCUAAGGGACGAAAGCGUGGGGAGCGAACAGGAUUAGAAACCCGAGUAGUCC